GAAGUUAGCAUAUUAAGUACUCCGCCUGGGGAGUAUGCUCGCAAGAGUGAAACUCAAAGGAAUUGAACGGGGGCCCGCACAAGCGGUGGAGCAUGUGGUUUAGUUCGAAGCAACGCGAAGAACCUUACCAGAUCUUGACAUCAAGUGCAAUACUAUGGAGACAUAGUGGAGGUUAUCACGAAGAACAGGUGGUGCAUGGUUGUCGUCAGCUCGUGUCGUGAGAUGUUGGGUUAAGUCCCGCAACGAGCGCAACCCCUAUUGUUAGUUGCCAGCACGUAAUGGUGGGGACUCUAACAAGACCGCUAGCGAUAAGCUAGAGGAAGGUGGGGAUGACGUCAAAUCAUCAUGCCCCUUAUGAUCUGGGCUACACACGUGCUACAAUGGUUGGUACAAAGAGAUGCAAAACGGUGACGUCGAGCAAACCUCAAAAAGCCAAUCUCAGUUCGGAUUGUAGUCUGCAACUCGACUACAUGAAGCUGGAAUCGCUAGUAAUCGCGAAUCAGAAUGUCGCGGUGAAUACGUUCCCGGGCCUUGUACACACCGCCCGUCACACCANCGAGAGUUGAUAACACCCCAAGUCGAUGACCUAACCGACAAGGAAGGAGUCGCCUAAGGUGGG
Molecule: ribosomal RNA, 619 nt
Filed under: uncultured Eubacterium sp.
Lineage: Bacteria; Bacillati; Bacillota; Clostridia; Eubacteriales; Eubacteriaceae
Description: bacterial SSU rRNA
Rfam family: Bacterial small subunit ribosomal RNA
Source: RNAcentral